AUAGAGGGUUACUACUACCACAGAAGCUCUGAAUGGUAUCAGUCUUUGAACCUCACACACGUCCCUGAACACAGCGCACCCAUCUACGAGUUCCGGUGACACUGAAGUCCUCCAGGUGAAUCUACAGAGGAAAUGGACAUGAGAGAACGAGAGGAACUGUCUAAUGAUUACGCCCAGGACUCGGCUGUCCUCUCCCCUCAGUGAAAGAAUAACCAGAGGUACAGAUGAUGGAGGAAGGAACUCUUUCAGGAGACUCUCUGCACAAGCCGAUCAAGCGAGUGGGAUUCGGGGAUUCGCAGCAGUGUUAGCUGCUAGAGUUUUUAACGCCUCUGUCCUCCGAUCAUCUUAGAAAACUAUUUUUAUCCUUAAGGUUUGGGGAUUAAAAUCACAGUUUUUCUUUGCCCUGGAUGGAAGAGCCAAUGGUGAUAUUUUUCUCUUCUUUUUUUUUCGCCUUGUAAUUUGAUAAAAGAGCAUGGCCAAUCUUUGUUUUAAUUUAUUUUGAAUCAUUCUGUAUGAAAAGACUGUGAGCGGGAUGCUGUAUACAGACACUGGGACGUCUUUUGAAGACGUAUCAAAGAUACAGUAUGCGAUAUGAUGGAUACGGAGAGUUGCUAUUGUCUGCGGCUUGCUCGGCUCUCAGACGUUGUUUUUUUAUUAACGUAAGGUGUAUCAUCAAAAGUCACAUAUAUAGCAGCUGGGUCCUUCGCUUCUACGUGUGAUAUAUUUUUUAUUAUGAGAUGAAAUAGAGUCAGGUGUUUUGGAAAGAGGUAUAUAUAUUAUCCCAUGGUGGUAAAGCUAUUUGUAAAGCCGCUUUGGAUGAAACAUUUCUUUCUGAGUUUGGAA
Sinocyclocheilus anshuiensis is the source of this 843-nucleotide long non-coding RNA. RefSeq lists it as uncharacterized. NCBI's taxonomy places the organism in Eukaryota, Metazoa, Chordata, Actinopteri, Cypriniformes, Cyprinidae. The transcript has 2 exons. The record is from RefSeq and is a predicted model, not a curated record.